ACACGACUACAUUAGAUACCCGCGUAGUCCUAGCCGUAAACGAUACUCGCUAGGUGUCGGCCACGGUGCGACCGUUGUCGGUGCCGUAGGGAAGCCGUGAAGCGAGCCACCUGGGAAGUACGGCCGCAAGGCUGAAACUUAAAGGAAUUGGCGGGGGAGCACAACAACGGGUGGAGAUUGCGGUUUAAUUGGAUUCAACGCCGGAAAUCUUACCGGGACCGACAGCAACAUGGAGGCCAAGCUGAAGACUUUGCCGGAUUAGCUG
RNAcentral lists this ribosomal RNA (265 nucleotides) under uncultured archaeon. RNAcentral describes it as "partial 16S ribosomal RNA". It matches the Rfam family "Archaeal small subunit ribosomal RNA", at positions 717 to 982 of the family's 1478-position model. The record is from RNAcentral.